This 4873-nucleotide long non-coding RNA is filed under the name Sus scrofa (pig). Its description in RNAcentral is "lncRNA (ENSSSCG00050077569.1)". The record is from RNAcentral. Lineage: Eukaryota; Metazoa; Chordata; Mammalia; Artiodactyla; Suidae.
AAUAUAGUUGUUUACAAUGUCACUGAUCUGAAAUAAGUUAAUUCUAAACCUCACGUUGGUGUCCCUUCUGGAGAAGGCAUGUUAGUUUCUAGAGCGAAGGGAAAAGAAGAUAUACUUUGUCACCAGCUCACGCAUAUCCUCUUUCCUCCUCCACACAAUUACUGUGGUGAUCCCACACUUUCCCUCAGGUCGUUACUGUGAUUUUCACUCACAUCUACCCGGGUCCUCACUUUCCAACUUGAUUAUUAGCUGUGCGAUGGUGAGGGUCUAAUUCUCACCUUGUAAUUGGAUUCCUCCAUUUUGACGGGUCCCUGUGAGUGUGGUCUCCCCGUUUAUCAGCCCCAGUCCUUCUGGCAUUGGAUGGAUGUUCUGAUUGGGAUCUGAGUUUCUGUGUGGCACUGUGGGGAGCUAGUGUCUUGGUUUGUUUCCUUGCUGGUUGUCAGGCUGUUUCGCAGUCCUGGUCCUGUGUGUUUACUGUGCUGUGGUGGGAGUGCGUUUGUUGGCAGAUGCACCUGCCCGCGCUCUGUCAUGAUGCUCUGGCCUGUGUUCCUGGGCUCCCACGUGCUGACAGUUUCCUCCUCCAGCCUGGCUUCUACCCCAAGAGUGGGUAGGGAGACCAGCAUGCUGAGCACUCACCUGCCAAGGUCCUGACAUUCCUCCUGAAAUGUCCCACGUAAUGUCCCCUUGGCUGAGCUGGGGUGUCCCCCACCCCUGUGAGCACUGGCUGAGCUGGGGUGUCCUGCCCCCCUGUGAGCACUGGCCUAGCCCUCCAUUCUGGCCCUUUCUACCUCUGUGGAGCUCAGGACAUGCACAAGAUGAGCUUCUAUUCCAAAGGGGUUUUCUUAGAGUGACCGGCAGUGUCUGUGAGAAUUCUCAGGAUGGGGCCAGCUUGCCUUCUGGCUCACGGCUGCUUUGGAACGUGAGGGCACUUACUUCUGUUCCUAUGUCCUUCUCAGAACAUGCCUCUUCCUUCCUUUAUUGAGUGUGCUGGUGAAUCUCUUGAGAUGUCUGCCCUAUAGAUUUCAUGAGGAGCUGGGGGAGGGCUGCAUAGUGGGGGUGGAGAGGUGGUGUGGGCUGUGUCCCAUGGAGCAGACCUGGGGUGUUUCCCUCUCACCUUGUUGGUCACCUGCGGAGGCCAUGUGGACAUCCGCAGCGGGCCGGGUGUGCCAGGCAUGAUGACAAGAGCUCGACAUGUACCAUUAUUAAACUCCUGACAUUAUCCUGUGUGACAGGCAUUCCUAUGAAACACCUUUAAUUGAUGAGUAAGCCGAAGCACACAGAUUUGAACCCAGGCAGUCCUGGUCUGGAGCCUGUGCUUUUGGCUUGAUGCUGCCUCUGUGAGGAAGCGAAGAGGAGCCUUGGGGCAUGGCAACAGAUUGCAUGCUGGUGAUGACAGUUCCGUAGCAUGUGAGCAGCAGGCAUAAGGAUCACAAGAACUGAAGACAUUUGUAAAGGAAUUCCUCUGGGAACUAUCCUUAUGACCACACUCAAAUUCACGACUUCCCUUGCAGUGCAUUUUCUGCUGUUGUGUGACAUUCUGGAAACUCAUCAUUCUGGAAACUGCUUCCUAUUCUGUGCCAGGAAUUAUCCCAGGCAGUUGCUGCAUGUCAGUCUUUCACCCUUUCCACUGGCCACAGGAAAGCUGUGAUCCUGCUGUACCUGAAGAAGAGACUGGGGGUCAGAGAGAAAGGAGGUGAUUCCGCAGGGUUGGCUGGGGAAGGAGGUAGCUCGGCCCCACAGCCAUGCUUUUGGAGUGACCCCGCCCUGCCCGAGGUGAUGUCACAGAGCUUUAGAGGCUGAGACUUGAAGAAUUCUCUGCUCUGCCUGUGACCAGCGUUUCCCAGGAGUGAGUUUAGAAAAAGUGUCAAAACAACUCACCCUGCUUUUAAACAAGCAUCAGAAGAGUCCACAUGUCUGUUUGGGGGAAACUGUUGAGAUCAUGGUGUAUAAGGAAGUGAGCCAAAGAUGGGAAUCUUGGGAGAAGACACUUACUUCAUUUUCAACUCUUUGUCUUUCCCCAAAUUCACAGAGGUAUAGUAAAAACUCAUUGCUUAUUAGUUGACAUUUAACCCCACCUACUGUUUCUUUUCUAAAAUAGGAAAAAUAAAAACUCCUUAGUAGAUGUCUUGGUCAGCUGAGGCCCCCAUAACAAAACACCACAGACUGGGUGGCUUAACAACAGACUCUGAGAGUCCCACUGUAGCACAGUGGGUUAAGGACCCAGCAUUGCCACAGCUGCAGUGUAGCCCAGGUUGGAUCCCUGGCCCAGAAACUUCCAUAUGCCGCAGGUGUUUAAAAAAAAAAAAAAAGACACUGGUGUCUCAAAGUUCUUUUUGGGUUCUGCUGAGAGCCCACUUCCUGGCUUGUGGACAGCUGCCUUCUGGUCGCAUUGCUGUGUGGCCUGUCCUCUGCCUCCAUGUGGAGAGGCCAUGCUCUUUUGUUCUUCCCCUUCCUAGAAAGGUCACCAAUCCUAGAUGAGAACUUCCCUCAUCUGACUUGGCUAACCCUAAUUUAUCUCCUAGAAGCCCCAUUUCCAGAUGCAGUCACACUAGGGGUUGGGACUUUAACAUGAGAAUUUGGGGAGGGUGUAAUUCAGUCUAUAGCAAUAGGGAAGUUUUUCUCCCCCUAAUAUCAUUUCUUACUUUUAUUUUAUUUAUUUACUUUUUUGCUAUCGUUAUAUUUCAACCAAAGCUGGUUAUAGACACCAGUGGAAAGAAUCUGUAUCUUAAAUGUCUAAUCUAUAAACAACCAGCUUAUUAUUAUUAAUCUUUCAGUGUCAGAUGAUAUGUAUGAUAGAAGGUGAUGUGAGUGGUCAGUAUGUUCAAAUUAUUUAAACAUUCGCGUUGACCUUGAUUAUUUUACAUGUUAGCUGAAAAGCAAAAUGAUUAAUGUUGUCAUUUUACCUGACCAGGUAAUCAUCCUGUAUUUAUAUUUAUAUAUAUAUAUAUAAAAGAAAGAAUAGGUUGCCCUGUAUGGUUUUAGUGAGAAAUAAACUUGAAAUUUGAUGUUCUCAUUUAGCUAUAGAAAGCUUUAAAUAGUUGGGUUCUUGGUGAAUGAACUUAAAAAUAAAAGGGAAUGUUUGCCUGUUUAUUUUCCAUAGGUCUCAGGUACUUUGAUAUAACUUUCUUGGGAAAAAAAUACUAGGCAAGAAUUAAAAACUGGCUCAGUGUGGUCAGAAAGAAAAGUCUAUCUUUUUCUAAAAUAUACUGAAUUCUGAAAGUUAAUUAAAAUGAAGACAUUGUCACCUAGUAUUCUAAACUUGUUAUAUUUAGCUUUUCCUUUGGGAAAAAAAAAAAGCUACUUUUUCCUUCUUUGUAAGCGUAAUUAUCUUGGUGUCUUCAGUCUUCCAGAAUUCACACAGGAUCACCAUUUUCUUUCCCAUUUGAGUAAACAGGCUGCUGCCCUGAUGCUCCAUACUUGGGAAGCCCCUCAUGCUCUACUCUUCCAUCACCAAGGAUUGCUAGGGUCCUGAAGAUUUUCCUGGUCACCCUGACUCCAGUUUCUUACCUCCACCGACUGCUUGGGCUCCCUGAGCACUGGGCCUCCUGCAGUUGGCCUGUCACCGUACUUGCCACAGGCUGGGUACCACUUCCCAUCCCAAAGGAACACUGGUCCAGGUUGUGACAGCAGCCCACUGGGUACCUGCAACACUGCCUGGAAGUCCUGGCACUCUUCCUGGGUCCCCAUGAUAAUCACACUGUCAAACCUAGUGGUCAAGUCUUAGACUCCCCUCCCUUGACCCAACAUUUGGAAGUUUCUCUCCAUGGGUUUACCCCUCUGUACCUGGCUUCCCCACUCCGCCUGGCCUCUUGGCUGUCUUUUCCUCCUAAAGGGAAGGAUGCUUCAGAGCUGGGUCUUGCCAUCCUCUCUCCAUUUUCUUUCCACCCUGUAAUUUCACCUAGGCCCAGGUUCUGAGUGCCUUCUCUAGCCGAGCUUCUUCCUUGGGCUCCAGACUCAGGUGUCCGCCUGCCCAGUCACAAUCUUCAUAGGAUUUCUGAUGAGCAUCUCACAUUGAACAAGUCCAAAGCAGAAUUCUUCAUGUCAUUCCCAAUUCUGCCCCAUCUCAGUGACUGAUAAUGCCAUUCACUCAGUUGCCCAGACCCAAAAUUUCACUGUUCACCUGGACUCCUGUCUCUCUCACAGCCAGGUCCAUCAGCAAGACCUGCUCGCUCUUCCUUCAUGAUGCUUCCAGGAUCCCACCACUCUCCUCACCUGCACCAUGCCUUCCCAGAUCUAAACCACUGUCAUCUCCUGCUGGACCAAUGCAGCUGUCAUACCAUCUCUCUCAUUCCACUCUGGCCUCUGAGUCUGUGGGCCAUGGAGGUGAACAGUUAAAAAACCCAGGUCACAUCAUGUCAGUCCUCAGAAUAUUCCCGCUUAGAAUAUUCAUCUGGACUCCUCAUCACACCUUCCAAGGUCAUCCAUCUGUAUGAUGUCCCUGCCCUUCCCCUGGUCCCUCCCCUUCGCUCCCUUGGCCUCAGUCACCCUCAUCUUCCUGCUCCUCCUUCCUUGGUGUCCCUGUUUGUGCCAUUUUCCCUACCUGCCACACCCCUCCCUGAGAUCUCAGCCUGGCUCUCUCCUCCCCCUCCUUCAGUCUACUGCGCAGGUGACAGCCCCAUAGAAAGGCCAUCCCAUAGCAUGCUGCCUAACUACCAUCCUAUCCCAAAUUACUUCCACACAACAAAAUCUGAGUCUCAGUCUCUUUUGCUUCUUCCAGAAUGAGUAGAGGCAAUGGGUAAAAAUGGUGAUGAGAAUUGGGGAGGGAGGGACUCUGUUACCUGGUGUGAACACUAGAUGAAACCAUUGCUUUUUCUUGAACAACAGGCCACUCCCUUGAGCUGACGUGUGCCUCUUUCCUAAUACAUGAGAAGAG